Molecule: ribosomal RNA, 253 nt
Filed under: uncultured prokaryote
Description: partial 16S ribosomal RNA
Rfam family: Bacterial small subunit ribosomal RNA
Source: RNAcentral
UACGAAGGGAGCUAGCGUUGUUCGGAAUCACUGGGCGUAAAGCGCACGUAGGCGGAUGUGUCAGUCAGGGGUGAAAUCCCGGAGCUCAACUUCGGAACUGCCUUUGAUACAGCACGUCUUGAGUCCGGAAGAGGUGGGUGGAAUUCCUAGUGUAGAGGUGAAAUUCGUAGAUAUUAGGAAGAACACCUGUGGCGAAAGCGGCGCACUGGACCAUAACUGACGCUGAGGCGCGAAAGCUAGGGGAGCAAACAGG